CAGUCGCCGCGGGAAUACGAGGGGGGCAAGCGUUGUUCGGAAUUAUUGGGCGUAAAGGGUGCGUAGGCGGUUUGAUAAGUCUUGUGUGAAAUCUCUGGGCUCAACCCAGAGUCUGCACAGGAAACUGUCGGGCUUGAGAGUGGGAGAGGUGAGUGGAAUUUCCGGUGUAGCGGUGAAAUGCGUAGAGAUCUGGGGGAAUACCGGUGGCGAAGGCGGCCCCCUGGACAAAGACUGACGCUCAGGUGCGAAAGCGUGGGGAGCAAACAGGAUUAGAUACCCCCGUAGUCCCUGUCUCUUAUAC
RNAcentral lists this ribosomal RNA (301 nucleotides) under uncultured bacterium. Its description in RNAcentral is "partial 16S ribosomal RNA". It matches the Rfam family "Bacterial small subunit ribosomal RNA", at positions 509 to 807 of the family's 1533-position model. The record is from RNAcentral.